AAAAAUUGCUAUAUUGGAGUUGAUAUCCAUUACAGCAAUAUAAUGGAUAUCUUGUCUCAUUAUUUAUAUAAUUAAAACUAAUCUUGACCACUUCCUGUUUGCGCUGUAUAUUGAUUUUAGAAAAAACGCGACCAGUUACGGCUGUGAUUUUGGCCCUCUCCAGCUGUCAACAACAAUUGCAGUACUCGACACCUGAAAGCCAAGGAAUCUUUGGUAAUUAAGCCUAUCCUUGUUAUAGGACAGAACCCACACCCAAAUCAACAUUGGACAAAAUGCGGAAGGAACAUACAUAGGAAGAACAGAAGCAUCAGAACUCUAGGUUGUGGUUGGACCAAUUUAACACUGAACAAAAGAAAAUACCAGUGAUAGCGAGGAGGAAAAGACCCAUUCAGGAACAAACAGGAGAGCAUGAGCAUCAUAACUGAAGCUACUUGUUGGUGGGAAACACAAAUGAAGAUGUUAAAGAGUUCAAGGUUUGCCUUUCAAGAGAGGAUUCGGCAGCUGAAGACGGGCCCACGGUGGGUGCCGGAGGUUGGACUUGCCCCGUGGUGGGUACCGGAAAGAUGAUGAAGAAGAGAAGUGGCAAAGAUAGUUAUGACAAAUGACCCAAUUUCAUCACCCAAGCGAGACGGAUAAAGAGUUGGACCCUUAGGGAGCGAGGAAGACGGACGGAGCCGUCCCAGCGAGGACUCGACAGCUGAAGACGGGCCCUCGGUGGGUCCCGGAGGUCAAAGAGAAGCCGACGAGGAGCAAGUGCCAAUGAUAGGUAUGUCAACUGCAGAAAGCAACACCUGAAAUCCAAGGGAUCUCUGGUAAUGAAACCUAUCUUUGUCAUAGGACAGAACCCACCCCCAAGUCAACACUGGACAAAAUGAGGAACAUACAUGAGAGGAACAGGAGCAUCAAAACCCUACUACAGAUUGUCUCUGGGAAAACCAAAGCAUUGCAACUCACCAGAAGUAACUAGAGCUAAUGACGAUUGAGAACCAAGCUGGACUCCUUUUUGCAGUUUCAUUGGAUUCACCAGAAGGGCAAAGCCGGAAGAAAGAUGUCAAACAGCCUGACCAGCUCGGAGAGGAUUCUGCUAGCAAGAUAGAAUCUCUGGGAAUUAUGCAUCUUUUUACCAAUAAACGGAGCCCUCACCAAUUCAACCGGUGAAAUGAAAGCACAUGCUAAGCAAUAACAGAUAAAUAAAUUGUUAUAUUGGCAUAUAUUGGAGUUGAUAUCCAUUACAGCAAUCAAAUGGAUAUCUUGUCUCAUGUUAUUAUUAGCUAUGGGAAAGUAGACCAUGAUAAUACAAAAACAAUUUUUGUGGAGCUGCCAUUGUUGUGGUUUAGAAGGAGUGUGUUGCUGGUGCAAUGUGGUUCAAGAACCUGAUGGUUGACGGGGAGAUUCCGUUCUUGAACCUUGAAAGAACAGGCCUUGGGCUGCUCAGAGUCUUUUAAGAGGCACCGUAAAAAGCAGCAAUUUGCAUUUUUAAUCUGGAUGCUUUAUUACUUUAUUUGCUUACACAUGUAGACUUUAUGUGAAGUUCAGACCAGCAUUUUAUCUUCAGGCUGGGUAAAAGGUUUUUGGUAUUUAGCCACAAUGCAAAGUGAGGAAUGGUGAUCAUGAUAACUUACAGGCUUGUUCUUGUGUGAUGUGAACAUAACAUGUUGUAUUGAUUAAUCCAUUGCUUCUUUACCAAUGUCUAAUGAUAAAUCUGGCAGAAGGUUAAGAAGUCUAUAAUAGUUUGUCUGAGGAACCAGAGAUGUGGAACCUAAUGGAUCCCAUGAAGAAUGUUUUUCUGAACUAUCCCUGCUUUCAACCCAAUAAUCUCUCCUUAGCUGCAGCACAUGCAAUAAAAUAGAUACUUGAAUGUUAACUCCAACAUUGUAGGAUGUCCAAACUGCCAGGUGAUUGAAGUGAAACCUCACUUCACACCCCUUGCAACGCUCAGGUUGCCAGAUGAAAUGUGCAGAAAGCGACACCUGAAAGCCAAGGAGUCUGGGAAUGAAACCUCUACUUGCCAGAGGACAGAGGCACAACCAAGUCAACACAGAUUAAAAGUAGGAGGAAAAGGCCCAGCCAUGAAUAUACAGGAGGGCAGGAGCAAUAGAGCCCUGACACUUCUCUUCCCUGGGGAAACCAAAGCAUCACCACAGACCAGAAGAGGAUGGAGAUAAUCAUUGGUGAAGUAGGCUGGUCUCCACUGUGCAAUACUAUUAGAUUCACCACAAGGACUUGGCCAAAAGAAAGAUGCCCAAGAUCCUGAAGUGCUCUGGGGAUACACUGCUCGCAAGACAGAAAAAUCCCAGGAUCACAAAAGAAACACAAUGAAGAACAACUAUAAUUUCUCUGAUAAACCUGCAGUGUCUUGGAUAUUAAUUUGAGAUCGAUCUGCACUGAAAGAUGGGACAUCGGCGGUUGUAGAGCUACUGAGGAUCAAUGAGCUUAACCUGGCCCUGGAGGAUGAUACAAGGCGUCCAGGCUGAGAGUCACUGUCCUGCCUGAGGAGAUCCGGUGCAUCUGUUACCUUCUCUCGCCCAGUCCAACAUACGGUAUGUAAAAAGCCACUGAAUUAUUUUAUUCCCAACAAACGUUUUUUUUUAAAGAGUCAGUGAAAAGAGAUGUAAUAUUUCACUCCCAUAGUAUGCCAUGUCCAUUUAAUUUGGAUGACAUUUUUCUCUAUUUGAUGAUACAAGAGAUUGAGCUUUUUUCCCCCUUGAUUGAGUUGGGUUUCAAGCUUGACGAAAAGCUGUUUUAAUCCUGGAGGGGAUAGUUCCCUGGUUCCUGCAUCAUCUUUCUGAUGAUAGGUGCCUUUUUGACGAAGCACUUUGUGCAGAUUCCUUCAAUGGUGUGGUGAGGCAAUAAUGAGGAAAAGACCCAGCUCUCGGGUUUAGACAGUAGAUGUGGAGGUUGGGCUGGGGGUCAAGAAUGGGUUGACGGUCGGUUGGAUGCGCCGCUGAGAACAAAGGAGGAGCCGGCGUGGGGAACCACCGAAAUGUCUUCCUGCAGACUUCGGUGACCUACUCUGAGGUGACUGCCAGCAACGUGCCAGGGGGUAGAGCGGCCAUCGACUCAACACUAGCCAAAAGAAGGCAAAAGGGGUUUAAGGGAGGAGGAAAAGAUCCAGUAUUUUAGUAGUAUAGAGGAGAGCCAGAGCAGCAUAACCCUGACACAGCUCGUUGCUGGGAAACCCAAGGCAUCAUAACAGACAAGAAACAGAACAGAACAAACGCCUCCCAGGAAGCCACAAGCAGUGGGAGAAGCUGGUUGAUGCAUCCCUGUGGCCCAACUCUGGGUCGGAGCUACGGAGCCUUCAAGAGUGGACCCGACGACGAUAGAAUUUGGCCUGGGUGGUUUGCGAGGAGGUCGUGUCAGCAGUCGGCAAGAAGGUAGAGCUGGCGGUCGAGGUGGGGUAAGGUGUUGGCGGUGGGUGCUGGAGGUCGGGCGCUCCGCCGAGAACAAAGGAGAAUCCGGCGUUGGGGGACCGCCAAGAGGGAAAACCAAAGAAGACGUGCUGCGGAGAACGAAGUAGGACCCUGCGUGGGAGAACGCCGAGAACUAAGGGGGACUGUCCACAUCUGGUAUCUCCAGACCUCAGCCAACUGCUGCCUCAACCAAGGGCGUAAUGGUGGUGCAGCGUAGAGUUGCUGCCUUACAGCACCAGAGACCCGGGUUUGAUCCUGAUUACGGGAGCUCUCUGUGGAAUUUGUUCGUUCUCCCCGUGACCUGUGUCCGUUUUCUCUGAGAUCUUUGGUUAACUCCCACACUCAAGGCGUACAGGUUUGUAGGUUAAUUGGGUACGGUAAAAAUUAUAAAUUGCUCCUACCGUGCGUGAUAGUGUUAAUGUGCGGGGAUGUUUUUGCGCUGUAUCUCUAAACUAAACUAGUUCACUGAUUCUCUUGUGCCCUUGCCUCUGUCUCUGUAUCCGAUUUCACCAACAGAUACGGAGCACCUCCACUCCCAGUAACCUUCCUCCUCAACCCUCCUUCUAUGCUGUCUUGGGCAAGCAGAAGUCACCAGUCGUCUAUAUUGAUGGACCCAUGCUCUCAGAUCUUGGCUAUCAUGGACCUUCUGUGCACCAAUGAGCUUAACCUGGCCAAUCUGCAACUGACAGUUGCCGGCUUGCCCAAGGAGAUCCAGAGCAUCUGCAAUGUUCCCUCGUUCAUUCCAACAAAGCCUCUGCUGGGUUCGAUCCAGAGUAUGAGGCACUGCCCUAACCAUUAGAUGGAUGCCAUGUUGAAAAUAACCUCAAGUUUUCAGAAAGGAAUGGAUGGAUCCUGCUUCUUAUUGCUCCCUCCAGCAAGAUGGCGGUGGUACGCUUCAUCCUCCAGAUCACCACAACAGCAGUCUGCAGUACCAUCGGGCAGCUCAUUAUGAUGAUGAUACAUUGACAUAAUUGAAACCGCCUUAUUGGGUUAAAGCACAGAAUGGAUUUAGAUGAAGAAAAUAAUAUGAGCCACUGAAUUCUAUCAUCACCAAAAAAGCAUACCAUCGUUUCUACUUCCUCAGAAGACAAGGAUAUUUGACAUUAAUUUAAAGACUCCUACCAACUUCUACAGUUGAACUGUAGAAAACGUACUGCCAGGUUUUAUCAUAGCUUGGUUUGGGAACAGCUUUGCCCAAGACCACACGGAAUUGCAGAGUUGUGGAUCACUCCAGCACACAGACCAGACGUCCCACCAUUGACUACAUCUACACUUCACUCCCUUGGGAAAGCAGCCAACAUAAUCAAAGACCUUUUCCACCCUUGUCAUUUUUCACUUUUCCGUUUCCACCACAAAGAGGAUAUAAAAGCUUGAACGCACGUACCUUCAGACUCUGGAACAGCUUCUUCCACUGUUAUUUGAAUUCUGAACGGUCCUUCCAGAAGCUAGGAUACAUUUCCUAAUUUCCACCCAACAUCAUUGUGAACAUUGGACUUUUUCUCAGAAACGAUUAUGCUACAAUGUUGAGAAAUUGUCUGUUUCUCCUCUCUCUACCUAUUGUGCUUGUGUAUGGCUUGAUUGUAUUAAUGUACAGUAUUACCUGAUUUAAUUGCAUAGCAUGCAAACAAAAGCUUUUCACUGUAUCUCAGUGCACACAACAAUAAAGCAAUUUAAACUUGUUUUAUGUGCCACAGUAGAUGACUUCACAUUGCCAUAUUAUAUUCCUUCUUUUAUGUUCUGGCCCACACACUCUCUCUUUAAAACCUCUUUACAUCCUUCUCACUGCUCAAACAAUUCCCAAGUUUUGUAUCAUCAGUAAAAUUGGAAAUGUGAUAUUUGGCUUCCUCAUCCAACUAGUUGAAGAAGACUGAAUAAUCAAGGUUCCUGUGUUACCCACCUAUUUAUUCCCAAUCCUUGGUUUCUGUCUGUCAGCCAAUUCUCAAUAGCCAGCAGUAUACUACACUAAUCACAUACCUUCUGAAGUUCUAAAUGUACCACUGCCAUUGUCCAUUUAACCAACCAUAUCCUCAAAUAUCUUCAAAAAAAAACCCACCAUGCACUUUUCUGGAUUAAACUCCAUUAACUAUUGCUCAGACCAUUUGCCCAACUGAUUUAGAUCCUGCUGUAAUUUUUGAUAACAAUUUUCACUGUCUAUGAUACCGCAUACUUUAGUGUCAUCUGCAAACUCUCAGUCCCAAAAGGCCACUCCAUUACAACUUGCCUUUAUUUAUUUAGUCCAUUUUGAUCACUUUAGCAAGUCUACGGCUGUCUUGAGGUCCCUUGGGAAAGCAGCCAACAUUUGUACUAUUUCAUUCCAUAACUUGGAAUCCAAUUCAAUUUGCGAUUCACAUUCUAGUUCAUCAGGCACCAUCUCCACCUCCCAAAAUAUUUGAGGAGAUUAACCCAUUGUUGAUAAAUGGGGAAUAUUUAGAAAUGCUAUCAACAUCUUUGAAACUGCACAUUAUUAGUCUGAGGUUGUGACUCAUAAGGAAAAGGAGUAGAAUGAGGCUGUUCGGCCCAUCAAGUCUACUCCGCCAUUCAAUCAUGACUGAUCUACUCCCUCCUAACCUAAUUUUGCCUUCUCCCCAUAACCUCUGACACCUCUACUAAUCUAGAAUCUAUCUCUGCCUUAAAAAUAUCCACUCAUAGCCAUCUGGGGCGAAGAAUUCUACAGAUUCACCACCCUCUGACUAAAGAAAUUUCUCCUCAUCUUCCUAAAAAAUGUACAUUAGUUUUUAGUUUAAUUUAGAGAUACAGAGCGGAAACAGGUCCUUCGGUCCACUGAUCCCCGCACAUUAACGCUAGAGGCAAUUUUUAUAUUUAUCAAGCCAAUUAACUUACAAACCUGUACGUCUUUGUAGUGUGGGAGGAAACUGAAGAUCUCAGAGAAAGCCCAGAUGGUAGAAUGGAAGUUUAAAAAAAAAAUCCAGCUAUACCUUAUUCAGGUCUGCAUUCUAUUCUCCAAUGUUGGUCCAGCUGUUCUCUUUCUCACACUGCUCCUCUUCAGAGAGGUGCCCUGCCUAUGAGCAACUUUAGAGCAGAGAUGUAAGUGGAUUUGGGCUGCAUGGGCAUGGUUUUACUGACAGCUUAUCCUCCCACGCAUUUUACUUAUUUCAGAAGAAACCGUUUGCAUCAGACACAACCUAUAUAACCAUCAUGUGUGGGAAGGAACUGCAGAUGCCGGUUUAAAUUGAAGAUAGACACAAAAAGCUGGAGUAACGCAGCAGGUCAGAUAUCAUCACUGGAGAAAAGGAAUUACUGACGUUUCUAACGUUUCAGAUCGAGACCCUACUUCAGACAGCCAUCAGUUAGAGCAAUGAGCACAGACUUUAUUGGGUAGGAAAGAACUGCAGAUGUUGGUUUAAAUUGAAGGUAGGCACAUAAUGCUGGUGUAACUCAGCAGGCAGCAUCU
Molecule: long non-coding RNA, 6825 nt
Organism: Leucoraja erinaceus (little skate)
Lineage: Eukaryota; Metazoa; Chordata; Chondrichthyes; Rajiformes; Rajidae
Exons: 3
Source: RefSeq, a predicted model, not a curated record